UACGUAGGGUGCGAGCGUUAAUCGGAAUUACUGGGCGUAAAGCGUGCGCAGGCGGUUUUGUAAGCCAGGUGUGAAAUCCCCGGGCUCAACCUGGGAAUGGCAUUUGGGACUGCAAGGCUGGAGUGCGGCAGAGGAGACUGGAAUUCCUGGUGUAGCAGUGAAAUGCGUAGAUAUGCGGAGGAACACCGAUGGCGAAGGCAAUCCCCUGGGCCUGCACUGACGCUCAUGCACGAAAGCGUGGGGAGCAAACAGG
This 253-nucleotide ribosomal RNA is filed under the name uncultured bacterium. RNAcentral's name for it is "partial 16S ribosomal RNA". It matches the Rfam family "Bacterial small subunit ribosomal RNA", at positions 524 to 776 of the family's 1533-position model. The record is from RNAcentral.